Acanthosepion pharaonis is the source of this 83-nucleotide non-coding RNA. NCBI's taxonomy places the organism in Eukaryota, Metazoa, Mollusca, Cephalopoda, Sepiida, Sepiidae. The record is from the annotation of a GenBank genome assembly.
UCAUACGAUCACCGAAGUUAAGCAACGUAAAGCCAGGUUAGUAGUUAGAUGGGUGACGGCUUCGGAAUACGACUUGCUGUAAG